This is a long non-coding RNA of Tripterygium wilfordii, 1399 nucleotides long. RefSeq lists it as uncharacterized. NCBI's taxonomy places the organism in Eukaryota, Viridiplantae, Streptophyta, Magnoliopsida, Celastrales, Celastraceae. The transcript is spliced from 2 exons. The record is from RefSeq and is a predicted model, not a curated record.
AUCAGAGAGUCCAAAUCCUGCGCUCGUUGCAGACUUGCAGUGAGCCUCGCGCGGGGCAGUUGGAGAAGGAUACUCUUCUUUUCCGUCUCAGUUUGUUUCUUCGAAGUCAAAAAAAUGGCAAUAAUACUGGAUGAGCCAGUGGUAAAUUCAACAAUAUCUCCUCCAAACUCAUACGGUGCUGUAGUACUCGGCGGAACCUUUGACCGGUUACGCGACCGCCAUCGCCUUUUCCUCAAGUUCCCUCUUCUUACUCCUGUCUCUCUAUGACUCUCUAUUGAAAUAUUCUUUUCCGAUAUUCGAAUUUGUCUAUGGAGGUAGGCCGCGGCGGAGCUGUCAAUGGAUCGGAUUGUGGUUGGUGUCUGCGACAGUCCCAUGUUGACAAAAAAACAGGGUUUUUAGAAUCAGCCUCCCAAGGCCAAGAGUCCUCCAAUGUGAAAGAAAUAUUACAGCUAAACAAUGUGGCGCAGGAUUUAAAAGAUAUCUUUAUAGAAGCAUCAAAACGGGGGUCGUGUAGUAUAUGGUUAUGGGGAUCGAUCUUUCGGUUCCUAUAUUGACGGAGGCGCGCACCGUCUUUACGAUAUAACGGCUAUAAAAUUUGUGUACAAUGAAGAUUUGAAUUUAUUCAAAAUAUAUAUAAUGGGUGGAAGUUAACGGAAACAAUGAUCCCAAUUGAAUAGUCUCUCUGAAAAGUUUCUCUCACUCUAGCUUCUUACUGUUCAUAACCCACAAACACACACAGGGACGAAUAAAGGAGGAGGAGGAGAAGACGAAUCGUUGGAAAUUCGCAAGCUUUUGCGGAGCAGUCAUCGAUUUCUCUAAGGUUUACGAAAAUCCGGGUUCAACUUUUUUUCUUUUCGUGGUUGUCGUGGUUCUUAUUAGAUUGCACACUACUCUGUUUCGUCUUCCUGAAACCCUUUUGAUUGCGUCUCUUUUUGCAUGUUUUUCUUGAUGCCUUUUCGUUUCUGCGUGCUAUUCUUGAUGGUUUGUUUUUUGGUUUCAUUAAUGCGUGCUAUAUUUGAUUCCAUCCAGAUCUCUCGGAGAAUAUAUUUUAAAGAAAGCAAGAAUCUCAAGUGGUUGAUCCGAAUUUUGAAUUUGUUUCAGGAGCACUCAAUUUCUCACUAAGAGAGAGAAGGAAUUCAGAAGCUUUUGCAGAGCAGAGGCAUCAAUUUCUCCAAGGUUCACACAAGCCUAUCUUUAACUAUCUGUUUCAUCAUAAGUUUCAUGGUUUUCAUGGCUUCUAUUGUGUAGCACACGCUCUAUCUAAGUUUUGCUUGUUUUUCUUGAUGGGGUUCUCCUUUUUUUACUGUUCUUGAUGUGUAUCUCUUUUGUCUCAAAACCCUUGUCCCGUGACUAUGUUUUCUGUUCCAUAAUAAAGUCCAUAGAAAAUCGUGAAUCUUGA